Molecule: long non-coding RNA, 1743 nt
Organism: Ictalurus punctatus (channel catfish)
Lineage: Eukaryota; Metazoa; Chordata; Actinopteri; Siluriformes; Ictaluridae
Source: Ensembl
UUGAGUAGGAGGAGUCUGGUGUAUCAUUUAGCAUGUAAUAGUUUGUAUUAUAUUAAAAAAAAAAGAAUAUAUUUUGUAAAUACAUUGUUUGAUUCUUUACCGUGUUCUGAUUUUUGAGGCUGUAGCUGUCCUGAUUGUAUAGCGAGAAGACGCGUACAAAAAAAAAAAAAUAUUUAACAACUUUCUUUACGGAAAUAAAGGUGUAUGGAUCAUUGGCAAAUCUGACAGCGUUUGUGCUUCUCCAAAUUAAAAGUGAAUUAUAUUGUAUCAUUCUUGUGUGUGAAGGUUUUUAUUUCGUGUUUAAAUAAUCAUGGUCAGAUUAAACCGUGUCAAGUGAUCAGGUUCUUCAGAUAAGUGGGAUCUAGACGAGACCGUGAAGUUAAAACGCACCAUCUUGCCCAGUGCCAGCUGUGAUGGAACAGGAAGUGUUCAUGUGAUUACUAUCCGAGACCAUCGAUUCAAGCACCUAAUCAGCCGUGUGCUAAUAAACAUGAUCUAAUAACCUUUAAUAAAGUUAUCCUGAGGGACCGACUCUAUGUAUUUAUUUAUUUAUUUAGAGACGGUGCACCGCAUCUGACCACUAGAGGGCGUCAGACGUUUAAGUUUUGAGGAUUUUUUGGGGUGGGGAUGUGGGGGAGGGGAACUGCACUGCACUGCACCUCACUACCAGAGGGUGCCAAAUAUUUGUUGUGGGAAAGUACAUCUUAUCACUAUAGUGCACAAGACAUUUGUUUGUUGGUUUUGAGAAUGUGUGCUGAAUCUAACCAUUAGAGGGCGCCAGACAUUUGUUUGUUUUUGGAGGGUGUGCUGCAUCUAAUCACUAGAGGGCGCCAGACAUUUGUUUUACAUUUGUUUGUUUUUGGAGUGUGUGCUGCAUCUAAUCACUAGAGGGCGCCAGACAUUUGUUUGUUUGUUUGUUUUUGGAACGUGUGCUGAGUCUAAUCACUAGAUGGUGGCAGACUUUUUGUUUAUUUGUUUGUUUAGAUGCAGCACAAGCUCCAAAAACAAUCACUAGUGUGUGCCAGUCAUUUGAUUGUUUUCACAUUUGUUUGUUUGUGGAACGUGUGCUGCAUAAACACUAGAGGGUACCAUCCAUCCAUCCAUCUAAUUCUGUUCAGAAAGGGUGCUGUAUAGAGGCCGCAUGUAUUUGGAAAGUACGAGUGAACUGGAUAGGUCGAAAUUCCUUCGGGGAGUGUUCAGGAACGGGAUAAAAAAAUGUAAAUUCGCACGCCUCUAGCGUUGUCGGAUGAAGGCCAGAAGACAAUUUACUCACCCUGCGAGUGUCAGGAAACUGUACACCUACAAGGAGGAUCUGUGAGGUAAGAGUGUAAUAAAGUGAUGUUCAACACCGGGUUUAAAGACUGAAGCAGUGAUGUAGUGACCCAAAACUUACACACUAUUAAUAGAAUCUGUGAAAGAUUUCACCUUUUAAAAAAAUCUGUUCUAAUAUAUUCUGUAUAUAAUCCUGUACAGAACAUAAAUCAAUAAAGAUUUACACACAAAACAGAAACUCAUCAGAAAUCCCAUCACGAUGAGAUCAUUUAGGCAGCUUUGGGAUUUCUGAGUCUGAAAUUAUUACCGAAUAUCAGCUGGUACCUGUGGAGAACCCUGUGUAAUUACGUGUGUUGAUGGAUGUGUCAUUUGAGAGAAAUGUGUCAGUCUGGAGAGGGUGAAACACACACACACACACACACACACACACACACACACACACACAGAGCACUGAGGACACGAGAGAGAGGG